AUGGUGAUGCUUCGUGAUAUUUGGAUGCCAAGCAGCCAAUGCUAUUUCACAGGGCCACUUUGGCCGUCUUUUGAGGCAGAAAAUUUUGAGCUAAAGCCUGGUCUUAUUGCUUUGGUUCAACAACAACAGUUUGGAGGUCUGCUCACUGAGGAUCCCUAUGAGCACUUAUACCGAGUCAUGGAGUAUUCAGGUACAGUCAAGUACCAUGGAGUUCCUCAAGAUGCUAUCAAGUGCAUGCUAUUCUCAUUCUCUCUCCGGGGUGAUGCUCGUGCUUGGUAUCGAUCCUUGCCGUCAAGAUCAUUCAGUUGGAAUGAGAUAUCACAAGCUUUCUUGGAUAAAUAUUUCCGACUACACAAGCAGUCCGCAAUUUGA
This 372-nucleotide ribosomal RNA is filed under the name Triticum aestivum (bread wheat). Its description in RNAcentral is "partial small subunit ribosomal RNA". Lineage: Eukaryota; Viridiplantae; Streptophyta; Magnoliopsida; Poales; Poaceae. The record is from RNAcentral.